UACGUAGGGGGCUAGCGUUGUCCGGAAUCAUUGGGCGUAAAGAGCGUGUAGGCGGCCAGACAGGUCCGUUGUGAAAACUCGAGGCUCAACCUCGAGACGCCGAUGGAAACCGUCUGGCUAGAGUCCGGAAGAGGAGAGUGGAAUUCCCGGUGUAGCGGUGAAAUGCGCAGAUAUCGGGAAGAACACCCGUGGCUAAGGCGGCUCUCUAGUACGGUACUGACGCUGAGACGCGAAAGCGUGGGGAGCGAACAGG
RNAcentral lists this ribosomal RNA (253 nucleotides) under uncultured bacterium. RNAcentral describes it as "partial 16S ribosomal RNA". It matches the Rfam family "Bacterial small subunit ribosomal RNA", at positions 524 to 776 of the family's 1533-position model. The record is from RNAcentral.